Molecule: ribosomal RNA, 468 nt
Filed under: uncultured bacterium
Lineage: Bacteria
Description: partial 16S ribosomal RNA
Rfam family: Bacterial small subunit ribosomal RNA
Source: RNAcentral
GAUGAACGCUGGCGGCGUGCUUAACACAUGCAAGUCGAACGGAAAGGCCCUGCUUUUGUGGGGUGCUCGAGUGGCGAACGGGUGAGUAACACGUGAGUAACCUGCCCUUGGCUUUGGGAUAACUUCAGGAAACUGGGGCUAAUACCGGAUAGGAGCUCCUGCUGCAUGGUGGGGGUUGGAAAGUUUCGGCGGUUGGGGAUGGACUCGCGGCUUAUCAGCUUGUUGGUGGGGUAGUGGCUUACCAAGGCUUUGACGGGUAGCCGGCCUGAGAGGGUGACCGGCCACAUUGGGACUGAGAUACGGCCCAGACUCCUACGGGAGGCAGCAGUGGGGAAUAUUGCACAAUGGGCGGAAGCCUGAUGCAGCAACGCCGCGUGCGGGAUGACGGCCUUCGGGUUGUAAACCGCUUUCGCCUGUGACGAAGCGUGAGUGACGGUAAUGGGUAAAGAAGCACCGGCUAACUACGUG